This 271-nucleotide ribosomal RNA is filed under the name uncultured bacterium. RNAcentral's name for it is "partial 16S ribosomal RNA". It matches the Rfam family "Bacterial small subunit ribosomal RNA", at positions 1231 to 1500 of the family's 1533-position model. The record is from RNAcentral.
UGGCGUAAACAAAGGGAAAGCGGACCGGUGACGGCGAGCAAAUCCCAGAAAUAACGUCCCAGUUCGGAUUGUAGUCUGCAACCCGACUACAUGAAGCUGGAAUCGCUAGUAAUCGCAGGUCAGCAUACUGCGGUGAAUACGUUCCCGGGUCUUGUACACACCGCCCGUCACACCAUGGGAGCCGGAAAUGCCCGAAGCCAGUGACCCAACCUUAGGGAGGGAGCUGUCGAAGGUGGAGCCGGUAACUGGGGUGAAGUCGUAACAAGGUAAC